This 207-nucleotide ribosomal RNA is filed under the name uncultured bacterium. RNAcentral describes it as "partial 16S ribosomal RNA". It matches the Rfam family "Bacterial small subunit ribosomal RNA", at positions 568 to 774 of the family's 1533-position model. The record is from RNAcentral.
CGUGUAGGCGGUUUGUCAGGUCCGAUGUGAAAGCCCCGGGCUCAACCCGGGAAGUGCAUUGGAAACCGGCAGGCUUGAAUACGGGAGAGGGUAGUGGAAUUCCUGGUGUAGGGGUGAAAUCCGCAGAUAUCAGGAGGAACACCGGUGGCGAAGGCGGCUGCCUGGACCGAUAUUGACGCUGAGACGCGAAAGCGUGGGGAGCAAACA